UCAUGGCUCAGAUUGAACGCUGGCGGCAGGCCUAACACAUGCAAGUCGAGCGGAAACGAGAUAUCUGAACCUUCGGGGAACGAUAUCGGCGUCGAGCGGCGGACGGGUGAGUAAUGCCUGGGAAAUUGCCCUGAUGUGGGGGAUAACCAUUGGAAACGAUGGCUAAUACCGCAUAAUAGCUUCGGCUCAAAGAGGGGGACCUUCGGGCCUCUCGCGUCAGGAUAUGCCCAGGUGGGAUUAGCUAGUUGGUGAGGUAAGGGCUCACCAAGGCGACGAUCCCUAGCUGGUCUGAGAGGAUGAUCAGCCACACUGGAACUGAGACACGGUCCAGACUCCUACGGGAGGCAGCAGUGGGGAAUAUUGCACAAUGGGCGCAAGCCUGAUGCAGCCAUGCCGCGUGUGUGAAGAAGGCCUUCGGGUUGUAAAGCACUUUCAGUCGUGAGGAAGGUAGUGUGUUUAAUAGAUGCAUUAUUUGACGUUAGCGACAGAAGAAGCACCGGCUAACUCCGUGCCAGCAGCCGCGGUAAUACGGAGGGUGCGAGCGUUAAUCGGAAUUACUGGGCGUAAAGCGCAUGCAGGUGGUGUGUUAAGUCAGAUGUGAAAGCCCGGGGCUCAACCUCGGAAUUGCAUUUGAAACUGGCAGACUAGAGUACUGUAGAGGGGGGUAGAAUUUCAGGUGUAGCGGUGAAAUGCGUAGAGAUCUG
Molecule: ribosomal RNA, 704 nt
Filed under: Vibrio sp.
Lineage: Bacteria; Pseudomonadati; Pseudomonadota; Gammaproteobacteria; Vibrionales; Vibrionaceae
Description: bacterial SSU rRNA
Rfam family: Bacterial small subunit ribosomal RNA
Source: RNAcentral